Molecule: ribosomal RNA, 425 nt
Filed under: uncultured bacterium
Lineage: Bacteria
Description: partial 16S ribosomal RNA
Rfam family: Bacterial small subunit ribosomal RNA
Source: RNAcentral
GUGGGGGAUAUUGCACAAUGGGGGAAACCCUGAUGCAGCGACGCCGCGUGAAGGAAGACGUACUUCGGUAUGUAAACUUCUAUCAGCAGGGAAGAAGAUGACGGUACCUGACUAAGAAGCCCCGGCUAACUACGUGCCAGCAGCCGCGGUAAUACGUAGGGGGCAAGCGUUAUCCGGAUUUACUGGGUGUAAAGGGAGCGUAGACGGUGAAGCAAGUCUGAUGUGAAAACCCGGGGCUCAACUCCGGGAUUGCAUUGGAAACUGUUUUACUUGAGUGCUGGAGGGGCAAGCGGAAUUCCUGGUGUAGCGGUGAAAUGCGUAGAUAUCAGGAAGAACACCGGUGGCGAAGGCGGCUUGCUGGACAGUAACUGACGUUGAGGCUCGAAAGCGUGGGGAGCAAACAGGAUUAGAUACCCUGGUAGUCC